UACAGAAUCCUCACUGUAAACUGGAGAAACUGAGGUUGUAUAAUUGUGGCAUCAGAGAUGAAGGAUGUGCUGCUUUGGUUUCAGCUCUGAGAUCAAACCCCUCACACCUGAGAGAACUGGAUCUGUCUGGAAAUAAACUGCGAAAAUCUGAAGUGAAGUUACUCUCUGAUCUGAAGGAUGAUCCACAUUACAAACUGGAGACAUUAUGCUAUUGACUAUCAGUAUUUAGACAUCAGUCCAGUUUCCUCAGGAUCAGCUGAUGGUGAAUAAGGAGCCGCUACAGAGACAUCACAGUCACACAAUCAACAGAGACUGCGUGAUUGGGACCCCAUAAAAUGAUGUUAAAAAAGGAUGUUCAUUUGGGGUUCAUUUUUCUGACCGACUCCCAAUGCUCGUUAACCAUUCAUUGACUGUUAACCGACAAAAUUAGAAUGUUCAUUUAGAUUUAAAUUAAAUUGGAAUGGAUAAGUUUAU
Long non-coding RNA from Sinocyclocheilus grahami, 474 nucleotides. RefSeq lists it as uncharacterized. The transcript has 3 exons. Lineage: Eukaryota; Metazoa; Chordata; Actinopteri; Cypriniformes; Cyprinidae. The record is from RefSeq and is a predicted model, not a curated record.